This 3520-nucleotide small RNA is filed under the name Rattus norvegicus (Norway rat). Its description in RNAcentral is "uncharacterized LOC102556873". The record is from RNAcentral. Lineage: Eukaryota; Metazoa; Chordata; Mammalia; Rodentia; Muridae.
CAUGACCCAGUUGGGAACAAGGAUCCCAUGUUGAUUGACUCCCCACCUUGACAAGUAUCUUGUUGUUGGGAUGACCAGCAUGUGACUAUUGGGACAAGAUAGAAGUAUUUACAAAGCCAACAGUUUUGACCAAUUUAUGCGAAUUAGGGCAGAUUUGAGAGUACACUUAAGAGUUUUAAACUUUGUUUGAAAAAACAAAAAACAGUGUUCUUGGAAUAGUUUCUUUGGAGUAGAGCGCAUAAGGCCAAAUUUUAUCUGAUUGUUGGUGAGCACCUGUGGGUUUUUGUGUUCCUUAUGUAGUAUCCCUUAGGUUUGGGUCGAACAAUGUAAACCUUAUCAUUUCCACUGUUUUUAACAUCUCAAAUGAUGUCCCACGUCCUAGGUGCCAAUCCACAAAUGCCCACUCCUACAUCUUCUCCCUCCUCCCUCCAUUUUGCCACUAUGAUGCUGCUCUAAACUCACCCAACUUUUCGAAACCCACCACUCCAGCCUCCUCCUACGUUCGAGCAUCACAUCUCCACAGGACCAAGGGCCUUCCAUCCCAUUGGUUUCAAAUAAUGCCAUCCUCUGAUAUAUAUUGGUUGGUGGUCUAUUUUCUGGGAAGCUCUGGGUCAUCAGCCAGCAUAUAUUGUUCUUCCUCUAUUGCAGGACCUCUCUGUCACAGGACAUCCACUGUUUAAGCACCACCACUACCUCAGGAAGUCCACUGUCUGUGUGUCAACUCCCACUGUUACAGGACCACAAGUGUCUCAGCACUUCAACUAUCACAGCACUUCUACUGUUCAGGAGCUCAAGAGUCUCAGCAUCUCAAGUGUCACAGGACCUCCUUUGUCCAAGAACUGGACUGUCCAAGCAAUACUGCUAUUGCGGGACCUCCACUGUCACAGGAUUUCCACUGUAGGAGCACUACAACUGUCUCAGGACACCCACUGUCCUAUAACCUCCACUAUCCCAGGAAUUCCACUGUCGUAGCACCACCCGUAGCAACUAAAGUGUUUCAGGACAUCAACUGAAGCAAGAUCUCCCAUGAUUCUGCAACUUCACUGCCCCAGGAUCUCUACAGUGACAGGAAUACUUCUGUAUCAGCAAUUCCAAUUUUGCAGGACCUCCACUGUAGCAGAACCUCAAUUGUGCAGCAGCUCCCCUGUAUGUAGAUUGACCUCCACGAUCUCAGUGCCUCCACUUUCAAAGGACCUUCACUGUCACAGAACCGGCGCUAUUUCAGUGCCUCCACUGUCGCAGGACCUACCUCUUCACAGGAUCUGCACUGUUGCAGCAACUGUAAUUUCAAUUUUUCAAAGUCAUUGCUGGUUAUUAGAUUUCAGGCUGAAUGAAAUGAGAUGUUACUUUUGAAAGCAUAAGAAUUUGUUCUAUACCUCUUGUGAUAAAUGCCGUGUUUGCUAGGACCAGUAAACUAUGGAAGACUUCUUCAGCUCAUACCACUCUCCACCUCACUUUGUGGAAGCUGGUGUUUUUAGAGUGUGAUAAACUUCAGGUGAAUGGAUGCAUUCAGCUGCACCACGCUCUAGAGUGGACUACACAGCAGUCAUAUUGAGUCCUUGCUGGGAAGAGAAGAAAUCCAGAAGAAGGAGAAGGCUUGGGUUGGGGGAAGAAUCAUAAAAUACUUAGAGGAUAUUAGAAGGUAAGAAUUAUGGGGAACUGGAAAACAGAGCCAAAGGAAGAAUGAGCACAGAGCAAACUGGGAAGGACAAAGUACAAAGGCACUUGGGUUUUGCCAUCUGCGUGUUCUCUGGACAAUCUCCCUGGGCCACAUUUCUGGGAGAAAACUCUUCCCCCACCCCCUUGUAAGGUUUCAUUCUUGAAGGAAAGCAGCAACACAACUUCAUCAGUGAAUUUCCCCAUUGGAAUUGGUUCAUCCUUUAAUGCUUCUGGGAAAUCCCGAGCUGGGGAAUGUCCUGCUCUCUGCUGAGAGACAGCAGGAAAGUAGGUCGUCCUCUGUUUUCUCGUUGCUACAGCUCUUCUAAGUAUGGCUGAUUGUUGAGUGAAGACACAGGAUACUUCUGGUGUGUAUGUAUGCUUUGUUCACUGUGGGUGUUGUUGGGAGUGUCCUGAAAAGAAGGGCAUGCCCAAUGGCACUUCUGCUUCCUCUUUGACUAGCCUUAUGAUCAUAGGGAGACACUAGGCCAUUGGAAGAUGAGGAGAGCAAUGUGUCUAAGUUGUGUUCACUUCUAUUCCUAUUUAGUCCUAGAGGGAAAUCAGCAAGGGUGUGAGGAAUGCUGCUGUGCACUGACUGUGUGGUGUGAGGAAUGCUGCUGUGCACUGACUGUGUGGUGUGAGGAAUGCUGCUGUGCACUGACUGUGUGGUGUGAGGAAUGCUGCUGUGCACUGACUGUGUGGUGUGAGGAAUGCUGCUGUGCACUGACUGUGUGCUGUGAGGAAUGCUGCUGUGCAUUGACGCUGCCUUUUUUCUUUUCUCCCUACACCUGCAUCCUUCUGGUGGCUCAGGUUGGACAACUAGGUGCCCAUGACCAACUCCUCAUUGUGGAUGGAUUUAGUCUGGUUGGACUUUCUCAGGAAAGGCAGCUGAACUCAUGACUAGUACCAGUUCCACGGUUACCCUGGAAGUUGCAAAUCAAGACAUCCUCUCUCACUGCCUGUCCACCUUUCUUACCAACCCAUUGUCCUCCAUGGUGCAGAGAGGAAUGACUGCAUAUGGUCAACACACACUACCCUGGAAGACCCGAGAGUUCAAGGACGGCCAACUUUCACUUAAGCAAACUUGUCCACAGACUGCGUGGGUCCCAUCAGCUGAGAGUAGCCUCCACAUUGCAGUGAUGUGCAAACUUCUGCCUUUCAGCCAUGAUGGACUUUAGGAUCUAACCUGAGGACCCUACACAAGGCACAGGUAGGUGAUGUGUAAAUGAGGCAUGUUACUGGGUCAGGUCUUCAGUGCAGUGUCUUAAGCUGUCAGGCUUUUGGGAGGGCAUAUGCUUCUCUAUUAAAUGAGCUGGCUUCUCUGAAGGCCUCAACUCUGCUGUGUCUGCCGCUCAUGCUCCCUCCUCCAAGAAUCUAACUGUCCCUAGCUCUCUGUGACUGGCUGGUCAGUCAGCCUUCAUGCCACUCCACAGCCACUCUACAACACAGAGCCCACACUGUCCUCUGCAGAAGUUUCACAGGGCUGCUGCUUUAGUCUCUCUGUUGCGCUAUGGGGGUCCAAAGUCAAGUUUCUUAGGUCCCUAGGUGUCCCUGAAAAGGCUCUAGAACAAGGAAGAGGUGAAGAAAUCAGGAAAUAAACUCCUGCAGUACUUCAUGACUACCACUGGAGGGCUCUACACCUUUCUGGUCCUAGUGUGCCACUCAGCAAGCCCUCUCACUCACUCUAAGGUUCUGAGCCUGAUGGAGAGGACUCCUGCUAAACCCAGUGUUCCCAAGAAACUGGCUGUACCGGCAGGGCUAACUGUAGAGGAUUCUCCACGACCCUGAGAACACAAUUUGGAAAUCUCAGGUAGGCAGGGUGUGUGGGGGAGCAACCAGGGCUGGAUGGAGACCUUACCCAGAA